RNAcentral lists this long non-coding RNA (1032 nucleotides) under Homo sapiens (human). RNAcentral's name for it is "long non-coding RNA NONHSAT212858.1". Lineage: Eukaryota; Metazoa; Chordata; Mammalia; Primates; Hominidae. The record is from RNAcentral.
GGCCUGACGGCUGCAACCACUGCACCUGCCUGGAGGGGAGGCUGAACUGCACAGACCUGCCCUGCCCAGUGCCCGGAGGCUGGUGCCCGUGGUCGGAGUGGACAAUGUGCUCCCAGCCCUGCAGGGGCCAGACCAGGAGCCGCUCCAGGGCCUGUGCCUGCCCCACUCCUCAGCACGGUGGUGCCCCGUGCACUGGAGAGGCUGGGGAGGCAGGGGCCCAGCAUCAGAGGGAGGCCUGCCCCAGCUACGCCACGUGCCCAGUGGACGGAGCCUGGGGCCCAUGGGGGCCAUGGUCUCCCUGCGACAUGUGCUUGGGGCAGUCCCACCGGAGCCGGGCGUGCAGCCGGCCCCCCACCCCUGAGGGAGGGAGGCCCUGCCCUGGGAACCACACGCAGAGUCGCCCUUGCCAGGAAAAUUCCACCCAGUGCACAGACUGCGGGGGUGGCCAGAGUCUGCAUCCCUGUGGGCAGCCCUGCCCCCGCUCCUGCCAGGACCUGUCCCCUGGGAGUGUGUGCCAGCCAGGCUCUGUGGGCUGCCAGCCCACUUGUGGGUGCCCCCUGGGCCAGCUCUCCCAGGACGGGCUGUGCGUGCCCCCAGCCCACUGCCGCUGCCAGUACCAGCCUGGAGCCAUGGGGAUCCCUGAGAACCAGAGCCGCUCAGCAGGGUCUAGGUUUAGCUCCUGGGAGAGCCUGGAACCCGGAGAGGUGGUCACUGGGCCAUGUGACAACUGCACCUGUGUGGCAGGCAUUCUGCAAUGCCAGGAGGUGCCUGACUGCCCGGACCCUGGGGUGUGGAGCUCUUGGGGCCCUUGGGAAGACUGCAGUGUUUCGUGUGGGGGCGGGGAGCAGCUGCGCUCCCGGCGCUGUGCUCGUCCUCCCUGCCCAGGGCCUGCCCGCCAGAGCCGCACAUGCAGCACACAGGUCUGCAGAGAGGCAGGCUGCCCGGCUGGCCGCCUGUACCGUGAAUGCCAGCCCGGCGAGGGAUGCCCCUUCUCCUGCGCCCACGUCACGCAGCAGGUGGGCUGCUUCUCUG